GUCUACAGCCAUACCACCCUGAAUGUGCCCGAUCUCAUCUGGUCUCGGAACCUAAGCAGGGUCAGUUCUGGCUAGUACUUGGAUGGGAGGCCGCCUGGGAAUACGGGGUGCUGUAGGCU
This 119-nucleotide ribosomal RNA is filed under the name Cebus imitator (Panamanian white-faced capuchin). Lineage: Eukaryota; Metazoa; Chordata; Mammalia; Primates; Cebidae. The record is from RNAcentral.